CCGAGUGAAGGGCCCCCGGGUCCGAUCUCCCACCCUUUGUGAUUACACCUCUGUUGCCUCGGGGGUGACCCGCGCGCUGUCGGCGCCGGGGCCCCCGGUGGACCAACCCACAACACUGCAUCUUUGCGUCGGAUAUCAAUGAAAAUGAAUAA
This 152-nucleotide unclassified non-coding RNA is filed under the name uncultured fungus. RNAcentral's name for it is "sequence contains ITS1, 5.8S rRNA gene". Lineage: Eukaryota; Fungi. The record is from RNAcentral.